This 463-nucleotide ribosomal RNA is filed under the name uncultured bacterium. RNAcentral's name for it is "partial 16S ribosomal RNA". It matches the Rfam family "Bacterial small subunit ribosomal RNA", at positions 331 to 792 of the family's 1533-position model. The record is from RNAcentral.
CCAGACUCCUACGGGAGGCAGCAGUGAGGAAUAUUGGUCAAUGGCCGGAAGGCUGAACCAGCCAAGCCGCGUGAGGGAGGAAGGCGCAGAGCGUCGCAGACCUCUUUUGCCGGGGGACAAAAGGCCGGACUCGUCCGGUCCUGAGGGUACCCGGAGAAAAAGCAUCGGCUAACUCCGUGCCAGCAGCCGCGGUAAUACGGAGGAUGCGAGCGUUAUCCGGAUUCAUUGGGUUUAAAGGGUGCGCAGGCGGCACGGCAAGCCGGCGGUCAAAUCGCGGGGCUCAACCCCGCCCAGCCGUCGGAACUGCCGGGCUAGAGUGGGCGAGAAGUGCGCGGAAUGCGUGGUGUAGCGGUGAAAUGCAUAGAUAUCACGCAGAACUCCGAUUGCGAAGGCAGCGCACCGGCGCCCUACUGACGCUCAGGCACGAAAGCGUGGGUAUCGAACAGGAUUAGAUACCCCAGUA